AGAUGCAAUCAUGCCAACUCACAUGCAUCGGAUCCUAUCUGAACUCCGAAGUUAAGUGAGUCUGGGCGAGUGUAGUACUAGGAUGGGUGACCUCCUGGGAAAUCCUCGUGUUGCAUCCC
Ribosomal RNA from Malus domestica (apple), 119 nucleotides. Lineage: Eukaryota; Viridiplantae; Streptophyta; Magnoliopsida; Rosales; Rosaceae. The record is from RefSeq and is a predicted model, not a curated record.